This 246-nucleotide unclassified non-coding RNA is filed under the name Hevea brasiliensis (rubber tree). Lineage: Eukaryota; Viridiplantae; Streptophyta; Magnoliopsida; Malpighiales; Euphorbiaceae. The record is from RNAcentral.
GCAGAGAAACAGAAAAAAAGAGGAACUAAAAUGCUCCAUGGGUUACCUAAUGUCCAUGGUGACUAUAUUAGAAGGCCUGAUAUUUUACAGUGACAUCAGGGUAUCUAUAAACUGCAGCCAAUGCCUAUCAAUGAUUUUGGGAUGGGAAAAGCUGGACAUGAAGGAGACAAUAGUCACUGCAGAUAAUACCUGGUGCAGGCUGAUUGUAGAAGAGAUGGCAAUGUCUUUGGCGGUUCCAUGUUUACC